AAGUAUCAAUUUAAAAUUUGAUGAAUAGGGAGUUUUGAUUUAAUUGAAAUAACAUUAAUUAUGUAUGUUUUAGUAUAGUAAUAGAACAAAUUUAUUUAUUUAUAGUGGAGUAGUACUGUGAAGGGAAAUUGAAAAAAGUUGAAAAUAAAUUUUUAGAAAAGUAAAUUAAUAUUGUACCUUGUGUAUCAGGGUUUAUUAAAAUUGGAAUAGAGAUUUAUUUUUCCCGAAUUAAAAGGAGCUAAUUUGUUAUGUUGGUUAGUGUGGUACUAUUAUCAAGAAUAGCAAGUUUGUAAUGAAAUAUUAGUCGGUUUUUAAGAUAUCUGGUUCUUCAAGAAAUGAAUUUAAUUCAGUAUUUAAUAGUA
This 362-nucleotide ribosomal RNA is filed under the name Anabrus simplex (Mormon cricket). RNAcentral's name for it is "partial large subunit ribosomal RNA". Lineage: Eukaryota; Metazoa; Arthropoda; Insecta; Orthoptera; Tettigoniidae. The record is from RNAcentral.